ACGGGAGGCAGCAGUGGGGGAUAUUGCACAAUGGGGGAAACCCUGACGCAGCGACGCCGCGUGAGUGAUGAAGUAUUUCGGUAUGUAAAGCUCUAUCAGCAGGGAAGAAAAUGACGGUACCUGACUAAGAAGCUCCGGCUAAAUACGUGCCAGCAGCCGCGGUAAUACGUAUGGAGCAAGCGUUAUCCGGAUUUACUGGGUGUAAAGGGAGCGUAGACGGUGACGCAAGUCUGAAGUGAAAGGUGUGGGCUCAACCCGCAAACUGCUUUGGAAACUGUGUGACUAGAGUGUCGGAGAGGUAAGUGGAAUUCCUAGUGUAGCGGUGAAAUGCGUAGAUAUUAGGAGGAACACCAGUGGCGAAGGCGGCUUACUGGACGAUAACUGACGUUGAGGCUCGAAAGCGUGGGGAGCAAACAGGAUUAGAUACCCUGGUA
This 434-nucleotide ribosomal RNA is filed under the name uncultured bacterium. RNAcentral's name for it is "partial 16S ribosomal RNA". It matches the Rfam family "Bacterial small subunit ribosomal RNA", at positions 341 to 792 of the family's 1533-position model. The record is from RNAcentral.